UGGUGUACCGGUUGUGACGCCAGUCGCAUCGCCGGGUAGCUAUGUUCGGAAGGGAUAACCGCUGAAAGCAUCUAAGCGGGAAGCCUACCUCAAGAUAAGAUUUCCCUAGGACUUUAUGUCCUCUAAAGAGCCGUUCGAGACUAGGACGUUGAUAGGUUGGAUGUGGAAGCAUAGUGAUAUGUGAAGCUGACCAAUACUAAUUGCUCGUGAGGCUUGACUAUACAACACCCAAGCAGUUG
This 239-nucleotide ribosomal RNA is filed under the name Acinetobacter baumannii. Its description in RNAcentral is "partial 23S ribosomal RNA". It matches the Rfam family "Bacterial large subunit ribosomal RNA", at positions 2710 to 2925 of the family's 2925-position model. The record is from RNAcentral. Lineage: Bacteria; Pseudomonadati; Pseudomonadota; Gammaproteobacteria; Moraxellales; Moraxellaceae.